This 843-nucleotide ribosomal RNA is filed under the name marine metagenome. Its description in RNAcentral is "bacterial SSU rRNA". It matches the Rfam family "Bacterial small subunit ribosomal RNA", at positions 8 to 882 of the family's 1533-position model. The record is from RNAcentral.
AGAGUUUGAUCCUGGCUCAGAAGGAACGCUGGCAGCGUGCAUAACACAUGCAAGUCGAACGCGAAAGAAUCCUUCGGGAUUUGGACGAGUGGCGAACGGGUGAGGAACACGUAAGAAUCUACCUUUCGGUUGGGGAUAACUUCUGGAAACGGGAGCUAAUACCCAAUAUGCUGUGGAGUGAAAGAAUUUCGCCGAGAGACGAUCUUGCGUCUGAUUAGCUUGUUGGGGUGGUAAUGGCACACCAAGGCGACGAUCAGUAGCUGGUCUGAGAGGAUGGACAGCCACAUUGGGACUGAGACACGGCCCAGACUCCUACGGGAGGCAGCAGUGGGGAAUUUUCCGCAAUGGACGAAAGUCUGACGGAGCGACGCUGCGUGAAGGAUGAAGGCCCGUGGGUUGUAAACUUCUUUUCUCGAAGAAGAAAAAAAUGACGGUAUUCGAGGAAUAAGCAUCGGCUAACUCUGUGCCAGCAGCCGCGGUAAGACAGAGGAUGCAAGUGUUAUUCGGAAUGAUUGGGCGUAAAGAGUCUGUAGGCGGUUUAGAAAGUCUUUUGUGAAAUACUUCAGCUCAACUGAGGCUCCGCAAAAGAAACUUCUAGACUUGAGGAAAGUAGAGGUACAGGGAAUUUCCGGUGGAGCGGUGAAAUGCGUAGAUAUCGGAAGGAACACCAAUAUGGCGAAGGCACUGUACUGGGCUUUUCCUGACGCUCAGAGACGAAAGCUGAAGGAGUGAUUAGGAUUAGAUACCCUAGUAAUUUCAGCCGUAAACGAUGAAAACUCACUGUCGAGCCAAUAUAUGGAGCGGUGGUCAAGCUAACGCGUGAAGUUUUCCGCCUGGGGAUUA